CCUACGGGCGGCAGCAGUGGGGAAUAUUGGGCAAUGGGCGAAAGCCUGACCCAGCAACGCCGCGUGAAGGAAGAAGGCUUUCGGGUUGUAAACUUCUAUUAACAGGGAAGAGCAGAAGACGGUACCUGUCGAAUAAGCCACGGCUAACUACGUGCCAGGAGCCGCGGUAAUACGUAGGUGGCGAGCGUUGUCCGGAUUUACUGGGGGUAAAGGGCGUGUAGCCGGGCUGACAAGUCAGAUGUGAAAUCCGGGGGCUCAAACCCCGAACUGCAUUUGAAACUGUUGGUCUUGAGUAUCGGAGAGGCAGGCGGAAUUCCUAGUGUAGCGGUGAAAUGCGUAGAUAUUAGGAGGAACACCAGUGGCGAAGGCGGCCUGCUGGACGACAACUGACGGUGAGGCGCGAAAGCGUGGGGAGCAAACAGGAUUAGAUACCCGUGUAGUC
Molecule: ribosomal RNA, 442 nt
Filed under: uncultured bacterium
Lineage: Bacteria
Description: partial 16S ribosomal RNA
Rfam family: Bacterial small subunit ribosomal RNA
Source: RNAcentral